GGGGCCGAUUAGGAUUCGACGCCGGUAGCGAAACUCUAGGUGCAUGCCGAGUUGGUAACAGAACUCGUAAAUCCACUGUUGCAACUUUCUAUAGUUGCCAAUGACGAAAACUACGAGGGCUACGCUCUCGCUGCGUAAGCAGCUGAGCCCGCUCUCCUGGUAGCUUCGGCUCCAGCAAUCACCAGGGGAUGCCUGUAAACCCGAAGUGAUUGUCAUACAGAACAGGAUCGUCGUGUAGCACGUUGGGGGCAAAGCGACUAAAACUUACCCAACUCGUCCAAAGCACCCUGCCCGUCGGGCGGCU
RNAcentral lists this transfer-messenger RNA (304 nucleotides) under Pseudomonas sp. URIL14HWK12:I2. It matches the Rfam family "transfer-messenger RNA", at positions 1 to 284 of the family's 374-position model. From Rfam's summary of the family: Bacterial tmRNA, also known as 10Sa RNA or SsrA, is named for its dual tRNA and mRNA-like properties. Its role is to liberate the mRNA from a stalled ribosome. Lineage: Bacteria; Pseudomonadati; Pseudomonadota; Gammaproteobacteria; Pseudomonadales; Pseudomonadaceae. The record is from RNAcentral.